Long non-coding RNA from Gadus morhua (Atlantic cod), 3356 nucleotides. NCBI's taxonomy places the organism in Eukaryota, Metazoa, Chordata, Actinopteri, Gadiformes, Gadidae. The record is from Ensembl.
UAGGCCUAUAGAAGAGGAAACCCUGGUUUGAACACUACCAGAUAUAGAUGUACAAAUCUGGAAUCGCUCUUUGUCACCUGACCCUACGUUAAACGACGGAGUCAAAGAGGCAGACGGAUGUGCAGAGGUCCUCAACACAGGGUAGUAAAGCCACGCUUGAAGCACUGUCAUGGGAACGUGAUGACCUCACUGAAGGCACCAGAGGGGAUCAAGAUGGUUGGCUAUGGUUAUCUACCGGUCCAGGGGUCAGUCAGUCUGUCUGUCUGUCCAUCCGGUGAAGAGGAAUGUAGCCAGAUGAUCGUGAGCCCGGGUGCCACUGCGCCCUGCUUCCAUAAAUCCAUAAAUGCCAGGCAGGAAUCGCUGUGCCAUGGAAAUUCCCACUUCACUAACCCUGAAUCCCAUCCCGAGAAGCUAGAACUGGCAUUUAGAUCAGGAUUGGUAAAGGAUUGUGUAAUUAAAGAGGAGCUUAAAACAAAAUACGAGGUUGAGCACUUUUCUAGUCAUGCAGGCACGCGUUUGUCCAUAACCCAUGAUUAAACUGACCCUUUUCAUUUUUGCACUUCACCACAGGAGCUGUAUUAAAAUACAUUUUUGAGUUGACAGACACCUAUGUAUUCAACUAUAUGUCUCAUGGUCAAUGUAAGGAAUAGGAUUGAAAGUAUAGGGUAUAAAAUUGUUUUUAGAAUGGGUGUGUGCGUGUUAUUGUAGAAGGUUUAAUGUUGGGUCACAAUUCUCACUGGAUAUAGAUUAGUGGAACUACGUUGGAUCGUAACAAGUGCAAAGAAUUUUUUCAAUUGACUCAGCAUACCUUUUCGAUAGAGGAAGUGAAAGAGAGCUGCAUGAGCUAUGUCCCAAGCCGUUGUGGCUGAGACAGGGUGAAAGAUCAGGCGAUGCUUCCAUUCCUAUGUCUUUGUUAAAGGACUUUGGGUCUUAUAGGACACUUUGAAAAACAAAAUUUGUAUAUACUAUUUGCUUUCCCUGAGCAAACACCCAGAACCAUCUUACCUUAUUUAGCAUGCAGUUCUUACAUUCUACAUUUAUACAUUCUUGUACAAAUACACAUUUGUUUAGGUAGGCAAGCAGGCGUUACACAUUUAGACUAAAGUGCAUGAGGUUUUGGUUAACAUUUGUUUAACAUUCCGACAUUCCCAUCCAUCUUUCCAGGAUGGAGAUCCAAUCGGAAAGUGGACUCAGUGACCCAGUCCUCCAAUAAACUUAGAAUAGUAUUUUACAGUAAACAUUUUUCUAUAAUGGUUCACCACCUCCAGGUAGCCUAUCUUUAGUGUAUUUUUAGGAAGAAAAGGGCGAAGGAGUACAACGCUUUAUUAAGUGCGUCACACACGUUAUUUUUUUUACUUUUUUACUUUCUAACUUCUUAGUUUGUCUAACAUUUAAACAUACUUUCUUUAAAUAGGUUUGGUUCUUUUUUACUUUUGUUCACGUGCUUUUGCCCCCAAAUAGCCCUAGUGAGUAAAACAGUAAUUAUCUAAAUCCUUGGUCUUUGUUUGACAAAUAGAAAUUACAAAUUGUUUUGGUUGUGCCGAUGUUGAUGUGAAGGGGGUUAUGACCGUUGUACCUGUUGGAGCCUGCAUGUUUAAAUGAAUAUCUCUAGAAGAUGACAUGUAGCUGUUGGCGUAAGACGAUAUUAUUAUGUGUCAUGUGGUGUUUGCUCAUAAGUUUCAUUACAAAUAUUGCCUAUGGUGCUUAUUACCCAAAGGAAAAUUCAUUGAAACAAACUUUUAAAGUAGUCCAAUCCUCUAAAGUGCUUCUGUCUCAUAAAACUGAUGAAGGUGUUGAGGUUAGAAGUUAACAGCUGGCUGAUUUUAAAUGACUCAUUUAAUAGCCAACAAAUUCCAUCAACAGGAAAAGGAAUCCUCCCUCUGUCGUUAAAUGUAUUUGUUACUUGACAAAUGAAUUAAAUGAUGCACAUAAAAGACCUGAAUGUCCUUUGAUCAUGAAAAUAACAUGAAUCAUGGCAUUUAAUUGAUUAAUCAAAUCAAAAAUCUUAAUUUCAAAAGCUAGUUUCUUAAUUGUAUCUCAGGAUUUACUCCAUGAGUCCAGGCUGAAACCUCAAUGUGAAAAAACAUCAAGAUGAGUCCUCUUUCUGGGGAGCUGCGCUCAAGCCUCUUCAAAAUAAGUGUUUUUCUUAGGGGGUGGUGUGGUGAGGGAGUGCUUAGGACAUCCAAAGUAUUUCAAUAGAUGUUUGGCCACUGCUGGCGCCGGUCCCGAACCCCAUGUAGGCGCCCACAUUGCAACCAAAGAGACAAUCCUCAAGGGUGGCCCAUGUGAACAGGGUGAACUCUGCUUUUGUUUCAUCACUUGCGUUGCCACGGUGGUGCACAUAACAGGGCCGCCACCACAGCUGGAUAGCCCCUCCACGAUGGAUGACUCUCGGCUCAAUGCAGUCCUCUCCUUAACCUCUAUGAACGGCGUGUGGAGCGGAGACAGGCGAGGAGCUACAAUGCCGACCUGCUGGUAUACUGUUCCACUGUGGAAAAACAUAGCCUGUGUGGUGACAUCAUGGCAACCCAAGGACAGGCCGGAGUAGGAAGUAAUACCAUGCGCUGAGACAAAGAGAGAGAGAGAGAGACGGCUCCACCACCAGCUAGUCUACAUAUCAGUCUUGCCCCCUCCCCCUCACCAGCCACCGCGACCACCAUAAUGAGAACAUUGUCUAUACUGUAUAAUAAGUGAGAACCUCUUGUCGUAAAUCAGCCAUUUGCUUGACGUUAAUGGCCACCUCCAUGUAAGCCAAACAGAGGGUAUGGUUGUCCCUAUCGCGUCGCUGAGAUGUACGUGCACAUUAUCUGCUGGUCCACCCGAGUGUCUGAUGGCUAAUAGAGUGUAAUUACCUCAAACCGUUUUUGCAGGCUCAGUUCUUUUGAAUGGUGUUUCACCGCCUUUGGAUCGUAAUGAAACGUGCACUACGACUAGGUGCAUCGUCUCCGGCUUACCACGCUAAGUAGUUCUGAAUUUGAAAUAAAUGGAAGCACGCACGUGAUGGGGAAACACGUCUCUAUUGGCGUUGGAAUGGCAUUGUUUUUGUCUGCUCUAUCUACCUAUGUUAUUACAGGGUUAUCAUCCUGGGCCUUUAGUCUUUGUUUGACCUGCGUUUACACUCCUUAAGCGUCCUAUCGCAGGGCCCGGUCAGCCGUUUUGCAGCGCUGCUGGAAUCAAGUUUUCAGUGACCAACUCGAGGGCAUUUAAGUCGGGCGGAACCAUUUUGGUAAAUGGUAAAAAAAAUAAGAAGAAAAAGUUUAAACCUACAUGCCUUUUAAUCCAGGGAUGUGUGUGGUUGUAGAAGGCUUGAGUAGUUUUGGUAUGAUAUGGUUUCCAACUGACAGAAAUCUGGACAA